Molecule: non-coding RNA, 69 nt
Organism: Trichonephila inaurata madagascariensis
Lineage: Eukaryota; Metazoa; Arthropoda; Arachnida; Araneae; Nephilidae
Source: the annotation of a GenBank genome assembly
AUGUAGAGCAAUGGAUAGCACGUUGGACUUCUAAUUCAAAAGUAGUGGAUUCGAAUCCUACCUGGUAUG